GGCGCAGCAGUAGCGCGCUUCCUUGGCGUGGAAGAGGCCGCGGGUUCAAUCCCCGCCCUGG
RNAcentral lists this transfer RNA (61 nucleotides) under Candidatus Dormiibacterota bacterium. RNAcentral describes it as "tRNA-Ala". It matches the Rfam family "tRNA", at positions 9 to 64 of the family's 71-position model. Rfam says of the family: Transfer RNA (tRNA) molecules are approximately 80 nucleotides in length. Lineage: Bacteria; Bacillati; Candidatus Dormiibacterota. The record is from RNAcentral.